CUGAACACACUAGAAACUGGAUUCUUCCAUUUAUCUAUAGAAAAGGUAAAAUGUGGGUAACAAUGAAAGCCUCAUCUUGCCAACAUGCCUCAACCCUGAUCUGAGGGGUACCACUCUUUGGGUGAAAGGGAAGUUCAUUACCCAUGCUCAUUCAUUUCUUGGCUUUC
RNAcentral lists this small RNA (167 nucleotides) under Chrysemys picta bellii (western painted turtle). RNAcentral describes it as "TUC338 (ENSCPBG00000001929.1)". The record is from RNAcentral. Lineage: Eukaryota; Metazoa; Chordata; Testudines; Emydidae.